RNAcentral lists this ribosomal RNA (439 nucleotides) under uncultured bacterium. RNAcentral's name for it is "partial 16S ribosomal RNA". It matches the Rfam family "Bacterial small subunit ribosomal RNA", at positions 339 to 795 of the family's 1533-position model. The record is from RNAcentral.
CUACGGGUCGCACCAGUGAGGAAUAUUGCACAAUGGGGGAAACCCUGAUGCAGCAACGCCGCGUGGAGGAUGACGCAUUUCGGUGUGUAAACUCCUUUUAUCAGAGAAGAAAAUGACGGUAUCUGAUGAAUAAGCUCCGGCUAACUCCGUGCCAGCAGCCGCGGUAAUACGGAGGGAGCAAGCGUUAUUCGGAAUCACUGGGCGUAAAGGACGCGUAGGCGGGUUUUUAAGUCAGGUGUGAAAUCCUAUGGCUCAACCAUAGAACUGCACUUGAAACUGGGGACCUAGAGUAUGGAAGGGGCAGGUGGAAUUAGUGGUGUAGGGGUAAUAUCUGUAGAUAUCACUAGGAAUACCGAAAGCGAAGGCGACCUGCUGGGACAUUACUGACGCUGAGGCGUGAAAGCGUGGGGAGCAAACAGGAUUAGAUACCCUAGUAGUC